AAGACACUAGUAAAACUGUUGAUUACACUGCCUUGUCAAGGCAGAAUCGUGGGUUAGAACCCCGCGUGUCUUG
This 73-nucleotide transfer RNA is filed under the name Ammodytes americanus (American sand lance). Its description in RNAcentral is "tRNA-Asp". It matches the Rfam family "tRNA". Rfam says of the family: Transfer RNA (tRNA) molecules are approximately 80 nucleotides in length. Their secondary structure includes four short double-helical elements and three loops (D, anti-codon, and T loops). RNAcentral also lists the same sequence under 1 other name. Lineage: Eukaryota; Metazoa; Chordata; Actinopteri; Uranoscopiformes; Ammodytidae. The record is from RNAcentral.